This 302-nucleotide long non-coding RNA is filed under the name Brassica napus (rape). RNAcentral describes it as "long non-coding RNA (BNAP_LNC024797)". The record is from RNAcentral. Lineage: Eukaryota; Viridiplantae; Streptophyta; Magnoliopsida; Brassicales; Brassicaceae.
GAAGAGGAAAGAGCCAUACAGGAAGGCGAUCCCAGACGAGGCGAGCAUCAUCAGGGUGGAGAUGGUAGUAAGAAGAUCCGAAAGCAACAGCAGCCACACCGACGAAAAAGCAAGUCCAUCCCAACUUCUCACCUCGCAAACUGUUUUCCAUACACAGAAAGAUUCAAUUUUUGAAAUCCGUUUUGUUCACUAGGAAGAAGAAGACGAAGUAGAGAUUGACUGACCUGAAUCUGAAGUAAUCGUCUGGGUAAAAGCAGAGGACGAGGCCGAUGAGGCCGAUGAUGAGGAAAGGGAAGUUGGAG